UACGUAGGGGGCGAGCGUUAUCCGGAAUUACUGGGCGUAAAGGGUGCGCAGGCGGCCAUUUAAGUCAGAUGUGAAAGGCUACGGCUUAACCGUAGUUAGCAUUUGAAACUAGAAGGCUUGAGUGCAGUAGAGGAGAGUGGAAUUCCUAGUGUAGCGGUGAAAUGCGUAGAUAUUAGGAGGAACACCAGUGGCGAAGGCGACUCUCUGGACUGCAACUGACGCUGAGGCACGAAAGCGUGGGUAGCGAACAGGAUUAGAUACCCUGGUAGUCCACGCCGUAAACGAUGAGUGCUAGGUGUUGGAGGAGACAUCCUUCAGUGCCGGAGCUAACGCAUUAAGCACUCCGCCUGGGGAGUACGUACGCAAGUAUGAA
Molecule: ribosomal RNA, 373 nt
Filed under: uncultured bacterium
Lineage: Bacteria
Description: bacterial SSU rRNA
Rfam family: Bacterial small subunit ribosomal RNA
Source: RNAcentral